Molecule: small RNA, 777 nt
Filed under: Pyricularia oryzae
Lineage: Eukaryota; Fungi; Ascomycota; Sordariomycetes; Magnaporthales; Pyriculariaceae
Description: Magnaporthe oryzae sRNA M_BR32_EuGene_00031391
Source: RNAcentral
UAAAUUUUUAUUUUUUUUAUGUUUGGAUAUGCGGUUAUUUUUUAUUUCGAUUAAAUUAAAUAAAUAUUUUAUUAAUACGGGUAUUUUGCGUAUAUUUAUAAUUAUUUUGUUUUUUUUUUACGUUGGGGUUCUAUAUAAUUUUAAUUAUUGGUGCAAAUUUUGGUUGCCGUAAUUUUUAUUCGUAUUAGGUUUAUAUUUUGGUUAAUAUAUAUAUUUUAUAUACGUUUCAAAUAUAUUUAUAUUAUAAAAAUUAUUUUUGGUUGCAAUAUAUUAUAAAAUAAUUGUCGUUAAACGUAAAGAUUACGGUUAAUUCGGUAUUAAAUUCCAUUUUAAUUUCCCAAUUUGGUAAAUUAAUUAUAAUAUAUAUUUUGUAAAUAUUUAUUAUUUUACGUUGUCGCGGAAAACAAUUGUGGAUUAUUUUCCUAUUUAAAUAAAAUUUACAAUUAUUUCGGAAAUAUUUUAUCCAAAAAAAUUUUGCGUAUUAAAAAUAUUUAAUAUCCAAAAUUAUAUAAUUUCCAAAAAUUAUAUUAAUUGGUUCUAUAAAAUAUUGGAUUUAUAUUUAAAAUAAUAAUUCGGAAAAUUAUAUUAAUUAAUCGUUUCGGUAUAAAUCGAUAUUUUUUUUCGUAUAUGGAAAAAUUAUUUUUUUUUAUUAUAUUAUAUUAGUUCGAAAAUAUAAUUUUUUUUCGCUGGAUUUUUUUUCCAAAUUUUCGUUUAAUUUUCGUAUUAAAAAUUAAUUAAUUAUUUUAAUAUAAUGGCUUUGUUUUAAAAAAAUUUUAU